GUGCUCACCUCGGCAGGGCUUACACUAAACUUGGACCAACACAGAGAAGAUUAGCGUGGCCCCUGUGUGUGGAUGACAUGCAAAUUCAUGGAAGCAUUCCAUAUUUAA
This is a small nuclear RNA of Octodon degus (degu), 108 nucleotides long. Lineage: Eukaryota; Metazoa; Chordata; Mammalia; Rodentia; Octodontidae. The record is from Ensembl.